AACGAAAGGCAGGCGGGUAGCACGGCAAACGCCGCCCAGAAGAGUGAUUUCAGGUAAGACAUCCCAAUUCCAGACUCCUGGCCUGUCCUCGAAAUGGGAAUCUCAGAGCUACAGCAGACAAUGAUCCCAGGAAAACAUAAGGAUUCAUUAAGCACCAACAGCUUCCUCUGCAGCCUUUUAUGGAACAGCAUUUAUCCAGGACCAAGGGUGACUGUGAGAACAUGCUGAGGAAUAAUGUCUGAGAGAAAACCUUCAUGCUUCACUGAAUAGUCAUUUUUUGUCAUAAAGAAAGAAACAUCUUGAUUU
Molecule: non-coding RNA, 306 nt
Organism: Taeniopygia guttata (zebra finch)
Lineage: Eukaryota; Metazoa; Chordata; Aves; Passeriformes; Estrildidae
Source: RefSeq, a predicted model, not a curated record